RNAcentral lists this ribosomal RNA (878 nucleotides) under uncultured bacterium. RNAcentral's name for it is "bacterial SSU rRNA". It matches the Rfam family "Bacterial small subunit ribosomal RNA", at positions 8 to 916 of the family's 1533-position model. The record is from RNAcentral.
AGAGUUUGAUCAUGGCUCAGGAUGAACGCUGGCGGCGUGCCUAACACAUGCAAGUCGAGCGAUUUACUUCGGUAAAGAGCGGCGGACGGGUGAGUAACGCGUGGGUAACCUGCCCUGUACACACGGAUAACAUACCGAAAGGUAUACUAAUACUAGGUAAUAUACUUUUAUCGCAUGGUAGAAGUACCAAAGCUUUUGCGGUACAGGGUGGACCCGCGUCUGAUUAGCUAGUUGGUAAGGUAACGGCUUACCAAGGCGACGAUCAGUAGCCGACCUGAGAGGGUGAUCGGCCACAUUGGAACUGAGACACGGUCCAAACUCCUACGGGAGGCAGCAGUGGGGAAUAUUGCACAAUGGGCGAAAGCCUGAUGCAGCAACGCCGCGUGAGCGAUGAAGGCCUUCGGGUCGUAAAGCUCUGUCCUCAAGGAAGAUAAUGACGGUACUUGAGGAGGAAGCCCCGGCUAACUACGUGCCAGCAGCCGCGGUAAUACGUAGGGGGCUAGCGUUAUCCGGAAUUACUGGGCGUAAAGGGUGCGUAGGUGGUUUCUUAAGUCAGAGGUGAAAGGCUACGGCUCAACCGUAGUAAGCCUUUGAAACUGGGAAACUUGAGUGCAGGAGAGGAGAGUGGAAUUCCUAGUGUAGCGGUGAAAUGCGUAGAUAUUAGGAGGAACACCAGUUGCGAAGGCGGCUCUCUGGACUGUAACUGACACUGAGGCACGAAAGCGUGGGGAGCAAACAGGAUUAGAUACCCUGGUAGUCCACGCCGUAAACGAUGAGUACUAGCUGUCGGAGGUUACCCCCUUCGGUGCGCAGCUAACGCAUUAAGUACUCCGCCUGGGAAGUACGCUCGCAAGAGUGAAACUCAAAGGAAUUGACGG